AGUUUGAUCCUGGCUCAGAUUGAACGCUGGCGGCGUGCUUAACACAUGCAAGUCGCGCGUGAAAGGACUUCGGUCCGAGUAAAGCGGCGCACGGGUGAGUAACGCGUGGAUGAUCUACCCAUGAGUUAGGAAUGACGGCUGGAAACGGUCGCUAAUACUAAAUACGCUCCGAUUUCAACUUCGGGGGAAAGGUGGCCUCUGCUUGCAAGCUACUGCUCAUGGAUGAGUCCGCGUCCCAUUAGCUAGUUGGUGGGGUAACGGCCCACCAAGGCGACGAUGGGUAGCCGGUCUGAGAGGAUGACCGGCCACACUGGGACUGGAACACGGCCCAGACUCCUACGGGAGGCAGCAGUGGGGAAUAUUGCGCAAUGGGCGAAAGCCUGACGCAGCGACGCCGCGUGAAGGGGAUGAAGGUCCUCGGAUCGUAAACCUCUGUCAGGAGGGAAGAACCGCCACGGUGCUAAUCAGCCGUGGUCUGACGGUACCUCCAAAGGAAGCACCGGCUAACUCCGUGCCAGCCGCUGC
This 525-nucleotide ribosomal RNA is filed under the name uncultured bacterium. Its description in RNAcentral is "bacterial SSU rRNA". It matches the Rfam family "Bacterial small subunit ribosomal RNA", at positions 10 to 518 of the family's 1533-position model. The record is from RNAcentral.